UGGGGAAUCUUCCGCAAUGGGCGCAAGCCUGACGGAGCAACGCCGCGUGAGUGAAGAAGGCUUUCGGGUUGUAAAACUCUGUCUUCAGGGAAGAAAAAAAUGACGGUACCUGAGGAGGAAGCCCCGGCUAACUACGUGCCAGCAGCCGCGGUAAAACGUAGGGGGCGAGCGUUGUCCGGAAUUACUGGGCGUAAAGGGCGCGUAGGCGGUUUCUUAAGUCAGAGGUGAAAACUACCGGCUUAACCGGUAGCCUGCCUUUGAAACUGGGGAACUUGAGGGCAGGAGAGGGGAGUGGAAUUCCCAGUGUAGCGGUGAAAUGCGUAGAUAUUGGGAGGAACACCAGUGGCGAAGGCGGCUCUCUGGCCUGUUUCUGACGCUGAGGCGCGAAAGCGUGGGGAGCAAACGG
Molecule: ribosomal RNA, 406 nt
Filed under: uncultured bacterium
Lineage: Bacteria
Description: bacterial SSU rRNA
Rfam family: Bacterial small subunit ribosomal RNA
Source: RNAcentral